RNAcentral lists this long non-coding RNA (2523 nucleotides) under Mus musculus (house mouse). RNAcentral's name for it is "long non-coding RNA chr13:108410423-108412946". The record is from RNAcentral. Lineage: Eukaryota; Metazoa; Chordata; Mammalia; Rodentia; Muridae.
AAAAUCUUUCUUCUCACUUUGGACCAAUGGUUCCUGUUGGGAAUUGGUUCUAAUGCUUUGUCUUAUUUCCGCUUCCAAAAGCCACCCUUCCAAACCCGAGGGUCCCUGGCCCCAGCUGACUUCCAUUGGUAAUAAAGAAUUUCUGUAUAUCCAAUGUCUGGGGAGGGAGAUGGAGCGGGACAAAGGACUGAUGGCAUGUAAGAAUCCAGAAAAGUGGCCCUAGGGGCCACUCCCCCACUUGUGUCUGGGUAGCAGACAUGAAAAAUAGAUUUUAAAAGAUAUUAACUCAGGAAUACCAGAGGGGAGUGUUUGCUAGCCAGGGAGGUUUAGAAGUGCGCAGCCAUUGAACUAGUCAAGGCAUCUCAAAAUUAGUAUGUGUGUCUGUCCUUCAUUCAUGAAUCCAGAGCGCUUGGGCAGGUGCAGCAUGCGCAGCCCACCAGAAGCCAAAUUGGAUUAACCAAUUGGCUACAGGUCCCUUUCUACUUUUCUGGAUUUCUAGUUUUCUACAGGUAUUCCAAAUUAAAUACACAAAUCUAAAUAUUUAAUACUAAAAUCCACAUAUGAGUUAGGAUAUAUCGCAGUUAGUUGUCUUUCUGAGACUUGAUUACCUCACACAGAAUAAAGUUUUCCAGUCCCAUCCUGAAAUUUUCUCCUUUCUUUGUAGCCGAAUACAAUUCCAUUAUUCAUUGGUACUGCAUUUUUGUUAUUCGUUCAUCUGCUGGUGGACAUCUUGCCUGAUUCCAUGUCCUAACUAUUGUGAACAGAGGAUCUAUGAACAUGAUGAGCAUGUGUCUUAUUUAUUUGGUGUCUACUGCUAUGGUAAAUACCAUGACCAUAAACAACUUGGGGAAGAAAAGGUUUAAUUGGCUUACACCUCUAUCACAGUCCAUCAUCUAGGGAUGCCAAGGAAGGAACUCAAGACCGGAACCUGGAGGCAGGAACUGAACAGAGGCCAUAAAAGCAUGGUGCUUAAGGAGUAGCUCCUCGUGACUUGCUCAUUUUUUUUUUUUUUAAAUGCAAGGUGACCCUACCCACUAUUGGCUGGGCACUCUCAUAAUGAAAUGCCCAACAGGCGAAUCUUUCCCCAGUUGAUGUUCAUUUUUUCCAGAUGACUCCAGCUUUUGUCAAGUUGCCAAAAACAUAACUAACCCAGCUUAUGUCUCUGUAGUAAGAAACAGAGUCCUUUGGAUAAGCACACAGGGUCACAGGGUAGAUUUAGUUCUACAUUUCUGAGGAACUGUCAUCAUACCGGUUCCCACAGUGAGACACCAACCUGCACACCAGCCAGCAGCGUGUGAGGAUUGUCUGUUCUCCACAGCCUCCCCAGCUUUGCUGUCUUUUGUUUUCUUAGUCUUAGCUAUUCUGAUUGGGGUAAAAUAAAAUCUCCAAUUAGUUUAUUUGCGUUUUACUGACAGUGUUUGAAUUCCUUGUAUAUUCUAGACUCUGAUCUCCCUUGGUUAGAUCUAUAGCUGCUCUCAUGAUUUAGCCAUCUCUACUUCUAUGUUUCCUUCCUUUGAAGACAUGCUUUAUAAAAAUCUGUAUUUCAGGAUCUCUGAAACUAAGAUGCAUACAUAAUUCAGUGACUGUCAGACUCCACUGGCAGCAGUUUUACUUUUUCUUUUUUUUUUCUUUUAGUGUUGCAAAAAUUAUCUUAUCAGUGCCCACAUUUUCAUAAAGUUUUGUUCUUCUAAAGACAGACAAUGGAAGUCAUUUAUUGUGUCAGUGGCCUCAAGUGUUUUACGAAGUGUGCAUUCCUGCACAUUCUGAGCUUGUCUCUUUUCUGAGGUUUUCUUUGCUAGCCUAUCAUCUAACUUAUCUAUUCAUUCAUCCAUCAUAUCACUCAUUCAUUCAUUUUCAAUUACUAGUGGGAGAUAAUGUUCUAACUAUAAUAUAUAGUUAUGUAAUAUAUAUUAAUAUAAACUAGAUAACUAGUAUAUUACAUAUUAUAAAGUAAAAUAUGAGUGAUUUUGAAAUAUGUACCCCCUUUCCUAAAAUUUUAUGUACAUGAUUUUAUACCUGGUUUGGCCAAGACACCUUUUGGUAGCCAUGUUUGGGAAAUGAGAAACUGAGAGAUGAGGACUGAAUCCAGGGCUUUUAUAACUAGCAUGAAAAGAAUUGCCUCUCCGGCUGGUGAGAUGGCUCAAAGGGCAAGAGCACUCACUGCUCUUCCAAAGGUCCUGAGUUCAAAUCCCAGCAACCACAUGGUGGUUCCCAACCACCCAUAAUGAGAUCUGAUGCCCUCUUCUGGUGUGUCAGAAGACAGCUACAGUGUACAUUUUAUAAUAAUAAAUAAAUCUUUGGGCCAGAGCGAGCAGGGACUGAGUGAGCAGGGUUGACCUGAGUGAAUGGGGCUGACCGGAGCGAGCAGAGGUCCUAAAUACAAUUCCCGACAACCACAUGAAGGCUCACAACCAACCAUCUGUACAGCUACAAUGUACUCAUAUACAUAAAAAUCAUAUACAUAGAUAUGAGUCUGGGGUUCUGUUAAGUUAAUUAGGGUAAAAAAUUAAAUAAAUAAAUCUG